AGUUCGAUUAUGGCUCAGAUUGAACGCUGGCGGGAUGCUUUACACAUGCAAGUCGAACGGCAGCACGGACUUCGGUCUGGUGGCGAGUGGCGAACGGGUGAGUAAUGUCGGAACGUGCCUAGUAGCCAGGGAUAACUACGCGAAAGCGUAGCUAAUACCGCAUACGCCCUUCGGGGAAAAGCGGGGGACCUUCGGGCCUCGCACUAUUGAAACAGCCGAUAUCAGUUAGCUAGUUGGUGGGGUAACGGCUCACCGGAGGCGACGAUCCGUAGCUGGUUUGAGAGGACGACCAAGCCACACUAGGACCCAGAGACACGGCCCAGACUCCUACAGGAGGCAGCAGUGAAAUUUUUGGCAAUGAAGCCUGAGUCAGCCAUCCCGCUGAAGUAUUACGUGGCCCGCUGGGUUGUAAAACGCUUUGGCAGGAAAACGGCACGGGAUAAUACCCCGUGCAACUGACGGUACCUGCAGAAUAAGCACCGGCUAACUACGUGCCAGCAGCCGCGGUAAUACGUAGGGUGCAAGCGUUAAUCGGAAUUACUGGGCGUAAAGCGUGCGCAGGCGGUUCCGGAAGAAAGAUGUGAAAUCCCAGAGCUUAACUUUGGAACUGCAUUUUAACGCUACCGAGCUAGAGUGUGUCAGAGGUGGAGUGUGUAGCAGGUGAAAUGCGUAGAUAUGCGGAGGGGAACACCGAUGGCGAAGGCAGCCUCCUGGGAUAACACUGACGUUCAUGCACGAAAGCGUAGAGCAAACAGGAUUAGAUACCCUGGUAGUCCACGCCCUAAACGAUGUCAACUAGCUGUUGGGGCCUUCGGGCCUUGGUAGCGCAACGCGUGAAGUUGACCGCCUGGGAAGUACGGUCGCAAGAUUAAAACUCAAAGGAAUUGACGGGGACCCGCACAAGCGGUGGAUGAUGUGGAUUAAUUCGAUGCAACGCGAAAAACCUUACCUACCCUUGACAUGUCUGGAAUCCCGAAGAGAUUUGGGAGUGCUCGCAAGAGAACCGGAACACCGGAAGUCUUCAUGGCUGUCGUCAGCUCGUGUCGUGAGAUGUUGGGUUAAGUCCGCAACGAGCGCAACCCUUGUCAUUAGUUGCUACGAAGGGCACUCUAAUGAGACUGUCGGUGACAAACCGGAGGAAGGUGGGGAUGACGUCAAGUCCUCAUGGCCCUUAUGGGUAGGGCUUCACGUCUUACAAUGGUCGGACAAGAGGGAUCGCCAACCCCGCGAGAAGCCAAUCCCAGAAGCCGAUCGUAGUUCGGAUCGCAGUCUGCAACUCGACUGCGUGAAGUCCGGAAUCGCUAGUAAUCGCGGAUCAGCAUGUCGCGGUGCAGAUGCGUUCCCAGGUCUUAUACACACUUAGAUAACACCAUGGAGUGGGUUUUACCAGAAGUAGUUAGCCUAACCGUAGGCGAUUACCACGGUAGGAUUCAUGACCUGAUUGGGAAUACGUAACAAGGUAA
This 1463-nucleotide ribosomal RNA is filed under the name uncultured Bordetella sp. RNAcentral describes it as "partial 16S-23S ribosomal RNA intergenic spacer". It matches the Rfam family "Bacterial small subunit ribosomal RNA". Lineage: Bacteria; Pseudomonadati; Pseudomonadota; Betaproteobacteria; Burkholderiales; Alcaligenaceae. The record is from RNAcentral.